GCCCACGUGGUGAAACGGUAGACAUGCCAGCUUGAGGGGCUGGUGCCUUCAGUGGUGUGCUGGUUCGAAUCCAGUCGUGGGCA
Molecule: transfer RNA, 83 nt
Filed under: Crocinitomicaceae bacterium
Lineage: Bacteria; Pseudomonadati; Bacteroidota; Flavobacteriia; Flavobacteriales; Crocinitomicaceae
Description: tRNA-Leu
Rfam family: tRNA
About the family: Transfer RNA (tRNA) molecules are approximately 80 nucleotides in length. Their secondary structure includes four short double-helical elements and three loops (D, anti-codon, and T loops).
Source: RNAcentral